Durio zibethinus is the source of this 3683-nucleotide non-coding RNA. The record is from RefSeq and is a predicted model, not a curated record. NCBI's taxonomy places the organism in Eukaryota, Viridiplantae, Streptophyta, Magnoliopsida, Malvales, Malvaceae.
UGACAGAGGAGGAGGUGGAGGAAAUCUUCGCGAUCCUCAGGAAGAUGCACAUGGAGGUAAAUUAUUUCAAGAAGGCUAACGGCGAUAUCGGCAACUUAACGCAACUGGGAAGGUGGAGUCCCUGAAUUUGGAAGGGAACAUUGAUCAGGUAAACGGCGACAAGAAGAAGAAGGAAAACGUGGGUUUGGACUUGAAUGCUGAUCCGGCUGCGCAAGGACCCAACCGGUAUUUAACAGUGAAAAGUAAUGGAGGAUUGAAUGAAAUGCGCAUUGGUGUAUGUUUGCGAAUAUCUAUUUCUUUCGUUCAAAAUGUUCUCAUCUCCUUUCCUUCCCUCAAUUCAUCUUGGCGUUUUCCAGGAAAAAAAACAAAAGACUUCCUUUUUUAUUAAACAUAAGGGACAAUAUAUGUCCUGUUUUGAAAAAACCCAUUACGAAAGCCCAAAAAAAAGUUUGUUUUGCAAUGAAUCAAGUGGGAGGAAAACAAAAAAAUAAUUUGGGAUUUGAAAUAUGGUAUGAAGCAUUUGAGCUGGUAAGUUUAUCUAAUCAUCUUCUUCUUUGUCAUUCAUGUUGUUGCUUAUAUUUUUUAUUAUGUUGUGCUUUAUUAAACUCAUGCAUUUUGAGCAUGUUAGUUUACUAUUUGGACUAUAUGGAAUGCCACGUUUCUCCAAAAGCAUGCGAUCAAUUUUUUUUGUCACCCUAGAUACCUUUUAUAUGAUAAUUUUAUGCUCGCCUUUUCUCAGAAGCUAGGAAAUUUUGCAUUGCAUUCCCUAGAUCUUACUCUCGAGGAUUAAAUUUUGGUAAGUUUUUAUAAUUUUUCAAUUUAUUACUUUCCCAAUUUAAAGUUAGGAUUUUAGUUUGUUAUAAACUUAUAAAGAAGCAUUUGCGUUGUUUGAUUUCGAGUAGAAUGAUUGGGAUAGCAAAGCAUAAGCUUAAGAAUUACUUAAAAUAUAUAAAGAAAGAACAUAAGAAAGAGGCUUUGGAAAAUUGGCAUAAUAAGAUCAUUUCCAUUUCAACAUAGGAAUCUCCUUCAUUUGUGGGUACUGAAGAGAAAAUCUCCUUUGGUGACUUUUGUAGUAUUUAACAUGCAUUAUAUGUAAGUUAUCUAUACUUUAUUUUAAAUUCUUGUUGCUUGGCCAUCCUUUGCAAAAUUCACUAUCUAUACUUUCAAAAGAGAAUUUCAGGAUUCAUAGCUUUUUCAUUUUAUUUGGCCAUAUUUAUUGAGGUUAGUUUUUUUUUAUGCUAGAUGGCUGGAAACUUUAUACAUAUAAAAGCUUCAUGCAUUUAAGCUUAAUGCAUUUCGUAUAUAAAUGAUGAGAUUUUUAGUAAUGCAAGCAUUCUGAUGGUUUUUCAGCCACCCAAUGUUAGUACUUCCUUUUGAGGCUAAAUUCUUGAAACGGAUAGGAGUUUAGAAUUUAUGAAUUUGCUUUGUGAUUGUCCCAUGUUGUAGUCCUCCUUUACCAUUGAUACUUUCCAAUUUCCAUGUUUUAUUUUGAUUUGUUAACUGCAUUUGUGUAUCAUGCAGCAUUGGAGACACCUUUGUGAAUGCAAAUCCAAGAAACUUCGUUUUAUCUAUCCUCAUACUCUAUCAAAGUUUGCUGAUUUAGUUUGCAUAAUGGAUAGACAUGCUUCAAAGGAGAUACCACAACGUGAUUGUUUACAAAGGAAUAUCUCAUGUUCUAACAAAUUGCCUGCUUUCAAAAAGAAGGUUUAAUCAUUUUCUUUUGGAUAUUUGUUCAAGAGUCGUUCCAUUUUAUUUAACAAUGAGUUUGGUUAUACAAUGUGUUUUUCAUUCAAUUAUAAAGUAACAUGAACGGGGAAUUGCUUUAAUUUGAAUAUUAAGCAAUGAUUUGAUAAAUUUGUUGAUUUAAUUUACAAUGGUUCAGGGUUAUGAUUGACUCCAUAUCAUUUUAUUUUUACUUAUGCAGUUUAUCAAUGACAAACUCUGAUGCCUUUUGAACUCUUAUGCAUUUCCUUUUGACAUUUUAUUCUGACAUAUAUCAAUUGUCUCUUAUUUAACUUGGCUCGCGCCCUGAAAAAGGUAAAGUGUUCUCAAACAUUUAACUUAUUUUCUUACAAUAGUUUGUUGCAUAUAUAACCAAACAAAAGCUUGUUAGUACAUCUAGGUAAUUGUUUAAGAUAAAUCCAUAAUUUUUCCUUUUAAUAGUUUGAGAAGUAUUGCUAAGUUAACUUUUAUUACUUUAUGUGUUCAGUUUUUGAAUAAUUGAUCAAUUAGAAUUGCCUCCAAUGUAUGUAUGUUGAACUUUUAGAGACAAUAUAAAUUUACCAUAAUCCAUUAAUGAUUUUUUUCUGCUUAAGGAUUGUUUCAUUUGCCUUUCAUAAUAAUUUUUUAUUGAUCCGAUGAUAUAGAAUGGUACCAAAAUCUUUUGCUACUCUUAUUUCCACAUAAAAAUAGGGAAAGAAGGAACACAUGUUUGGUUUUAAUGGCUCCCUUGCAUUGACAACUUUCUUGAUUAUAUUUUUUGUUUAUUAGAAAGCUUAAGAGAUUUCUUAUUAUGACCCACGGGGAUUGAGAAUAUACUGCAGUUAAUUCAUGGUAGUAUAAAGGCUAUAACUUUUGGGUGAGAAGUCAACAUCUUUUCUGUGAAAUUUUUUUGACACUAUUUUUGAUACUUUUCCUUACUUUGAAGGUAACUCAUGUAUAUGUUUUGCUUCUUACAAGAAAAAAAAUAGAAGUUUUAAGUGUUAGAUACAUGUGAAUGUUAGGGAUUGCAUCAGUGGCACUUUGCAUAGACCAUUGCCAUGCUGCAGAAUUAAUAAGUAAUGAUGCUUGGUUCAAAAUUGUAGUUUUGUUAGAGAGAAGUGCAUUUUUAUCAUGAUAUGCAUGUAGAAUAUGUAUUAUAAAUCUUUAUCAUUCCUUUUUAUUCUCAUUUUGAGUUAAGAAGCCAGAAUGAUGUAUCUAACUUUGUUAUGUUUAAACUGUUCCUAAAAGGGUUAGAUUUCCUCUUCUCUAUCCAAUGGAAUAAAAGUCAUUCCUCCAACUCAUGAUGCACAUACAACAUGGUUUAGGGCAAAGUUUAUUAGCAAUUUAUGGAUGCUGAUUCCGUUGGCACCAUGGAGCACUCAAGUAUCUCAAAAAGAGUGGACAUGGAAGGAACUCACUGGGGGUGGAUUAAUUUUGAACAUUACGCAGCUGCGUGUUAUCAAAUACCUGUCUCUGCAGCCAAGGUUGGAGGACUUUGGUUGAGCCAGCCGACAAGAGAUGUAGAGACAAAGCUCUUGUAGUUCCAACCACCCUGAUGGAAUGAUCAUCUAAGUGGUUCAACAUAUAGAUGAAACUAUAGUUUCAUAUCUGAACAUUUCGCCCUUCAACAACUACUACAAGUAAUUUGAGGGAUAGGAUGUCAACUGUACACUUUGAGAAUGGGCAAUCAUGGCAUUUUCCACAAUCAUAUGAUAGAAAGCAUACAACACGUGACAUGAAGAUGUAGCUAAUGAACUGCAUCCGUGAAUUAGCAGUUUCUACAAAACCAAAAAGGGCAACAAAAGAGAUCGAAAGCAGAGUAUAGAGGAUCAAGGACACAACAAACAAGUUGGUUAAAGGGCUGAACUGAAUUAUGACUUAUUCUAAGAGAUGAUGUCAAGAAUGUUAAAGAUUAUCACUGCAACAAAUCAACAAAACUAUCUGACAUUAAUUCAACUAAAAUAUGGAAUGGUGUAUGUUAU